UGGGGAAUAUUGCACAAUGGGCGCAAGCCUGAUGCAGCGACGCCGCGUGGGGGAUGACGGCCUUCGGGUUGUAAACCUCUUUCAGCAGGGACGAAGCGAAAGUGACGGUACCUGCAGAAGAAGCACCGGCCAACUACGUGCCAGCAGCCGCGGUAAUACGUAGGGUGCGAGCGUUGUCCGGAAUUACUGGGCGUAAAGAGCUCGUAGGUGGUUUGUCGCGUUGUUCGUGAAAAACCGGGGGCUUAACCCUCGGCGUGCGGGCGAUACGGGCAGACUAGAGUACUGCAGGGGAGACUGGAAUUCCUGGUGUAGCGGUGGAAUGCGCAGAUAUCAGGAGGAACACCGGUGGCGAAGGCGGGUCUCUGGGCAGUAACUGACGCUGAGGAGCGAAAGCGUGGGGAGCGAACAGGAUUAGAUACCCUGGUAGUCCACGCCGUAAACGGUGGGUACUAGGUGUGGGUUUCCUUCCUUGGGAUCCGUGCCGUAGCUAACGCAUUAAGUACCCCGCCUGGGGAGUACGGCCGCAAGGCUAAAACUCAAAUGAAUUGAC
RNAcentral lists this ribosomal RNA (550 nucleotides) under uncultured bacterium. RNAcentral describes it as "partial 16S ribosomal RNA". It matches the Rfam family "Bacterial small subunit ribosomal RNA", at positions 355 to 914 of the family's 1533-position model. The record is from RNAcentral.